GCCGGGGUGGCCGAGCCCGGACCAAGGCGCCGGCCUUGAGAGCCGGUGGGCUCACGCCCGCCUGGGUUCAAAUCCCAGCCCCGGCGCCA
This 89-nucleotide transfer RNA is filed under the name Thermoplasmata archaeon. Its description in RNAcentral is "tRNA-Ser". It matches the Rfam family "tRNA". From Rfam's summary of the family: Transfer RNA (tRNA) molecules are approximately 80 nucleotides in length. Their secondary structure includes four short double-helical elements and three loops (D, anti-codon, and T loops). Lineage: Archaea; Methanobacteriati; Thermoplasmatota; Thermoplasmata. RNAcentral also lists the same sequence under 2 other names. The record is from RNAcentral.